GAGCCCAAGAUUGAAAGCUGGCGCCUUCGGCGUCCGCAUUGUAAUCUCAAGAAGUGUUUUCCGCUUCGGACCAUGCCUAAGUCCCUUGGAAAAGGGCAUCAUAGAGGGUGAUAAUCCCGUACAUGGCAUGGAGCGCCCGAAGCUUUGUGAUACGCUUUCUAAGAGUCGAGUUGUUUGGGAAUGCAGCUCAAAAUGGGUGGUAAAUGCCAUCUAAGGCUAAAUAUUGGGGAGAGACCGAUAGCGAACAAGUACAGUGAUGGAAAGAUGAAAAGAACUUUGAAAAGAGAGUUAAACAGUACGUGAAAUUGCCAAAAGGGAAGGGUAGGAGGUCAGAGAUGCGUUCUAGGAUUCAGCCUUGCUUUUGCAUGGUGUUUUUUCUAGUUUGCAGGCCAACGUCGGUUUUGGGCACUGGAGAAGGGUGGAAGGAAUGUGGCACCUCUCGGGGUGUGUUAUAGCCUUCUACUGGAUACAGCGACCGAGACCGAGGACAGCAGCGUACUCGCAAGAGCGGGCCUUCGGGCACCUUUACGCUUAGGGCGUUGGCAUAAUGGCCCUCUACCACCCGUCU
This 568-nucleotide ribosomal RNA is filed under the name Kalmanozyma fusiformata. Its description in RNAcentral is "eukaryotic LSU rRNA". It matches the Rfam family "Eukaryotic large subunit ribosomal RNA", at positions 104 to 654 of the family's 3401-position model. The record is from RNAcentral. Lineage: Eukaryota; Fungi; Basidiomycota; Ustilaginomycetes; Ustilaginales.